AUAACACUGAAGCAAUUUCUAUUAUGGAAACCUUUUGGUGUUUUUACAUGUUUUUAUUGAUUUCACCAUAUAAUAAGGAUUGAAUAAUGAGUGUACUUUCCAUGUUUGUAUCAGACAUGUCUAUGUCUGGGUGAUGAGACAUUCAAUGACGUUUACUAGUUGAGUGUUGCUUUCGGACUGCGGUAAAAGCUUAAUCAUUUCCAAAAUCAAGGUAGUGUAAAUUAAGGUAAAAUUGAGGGGGAAAAAAACGAUGAAUAUCCAAAAUACCCACACAAACCCAUUCAGAAUGAAUUGCAGUCGUGUUCCUUGAGUUAAAACAAAAAUCACCGUGUUGCAAUUCAGAAGGGAUUCUUAAUAGCGACACUAUAGGAGCCAAGGGAUAACUUGCCACAGGUGUCUUACUCCUGCUGAUAAUGCCGAAGUGAAGCCAGAGAUCAAUAAGAGCUUUCUGACUCACCAUUUGAGAAAACUAGGUCAUUUAGCCCCUCACAUUGAGUGGGGUCCUAGCUUUUGUAGCUGCUAAAGCUCCUCAGUCUGCACAGCGAGGAGGCAGCAGCAACUUUCAGAGAUGUCUGGAGAUUACAGGGAGAUGCAGGGCCCUCGAAGAAGGACUUUUAUUAUUUUGAAGCCUGUCAGGGGAAAUGAGGCAACACAGUACUCGGCAGAACCGAGGCUCCCCGCCACUGAAUAAUGCAAGAAAUAGAUCUCUCUCCUACUGCCUGCAAAGCAGACUGAUCCUAAUCCUCUCUCCUGCAGACUCAGAAGCUCUCCGUGGAGACGAAGGCAACGGAGGAGAGUGAGAUGAGAAAGCCUGUGAAGUGUCAGGAGCCAGCUCAGAGCCUGAAACCUGCAGUUCACAGCAAAUCGCAACCCUCCUGCGACGAGAAGUACAGCGCAAAAAUAGAGAACAGAUACACUGUGAGUACCAGCUCAGAAAAACCUUCUAUCCAUUUUCUAACCACUUUAACCAGUUCAGGGUUGGCAGGGAGCUGGAGUCUAUCCCAGCAAGCAACAUGCACAAGGGUACACCCUGGACAGGACGCCAGUCCAUUGAAGGGCAGAUAAGACACAAGCACAUGGACACCAGUGCUAGCUUUUCCCAGAAGCCAAUUAACCUACCAGCCUGGGUUUGGACUGUGCAAGAAAACCUGGUUGCACACUUGCAGUAUGAAUUCUAUGCCUUUUCAAAA
RNAcentral lists this long non-coding RNA (1190 nucleotides) under Lepisosteus oculatus (spotted gar). Its description in RNAcentral is "lncRNA (ENSLOCG00000021231.1)". The record is from RNAcentral. Lineage: Eukaryota; Metazoa; Chordata; Actinopteri; Semionotiformes; Lepisosteidae.